RNAcentral lists this long non-coding RNA (798 nucleotides) under Sus scrofa (pig). Its description in RNAcentral is "lncRNA (ENSSSCG00070017524.1)". Lineage: Eukaryota; Metazoa; Chordata; Mammalia; Artiodactyla; Suidae. The record is from RNAcentral.
GUUUUGUUUCUAUUCUGUAUGCUGUCUGGUCCUGUGACCGUCAGGUUGCCUGUGGGUGAUCACUUUGUAGUCUGUUUGGGUAUUGACAGAAUCUGAUUGCAACUAAUUAUUUUCCUGAUUUUACUCUAGCCUUGGGGAGUUAGCAGUGCUGUUUUGUUGGCAACGACCACUCUCCUGGUUCUAGAAAAACUGGAAAUAACCUGUGGUUAUGCUUCCCUGUGAUCAGCCACUUCCUGACCCAGCCCCUGACCAGGAAGGAGAGCUUCCUACCAACAAGCUAAUCAGGAACAUCAGGUCUGAUGCAUGCGUUCACCGACAGAUGGUUUUCCCUGGAUGUUUGCAAAUACACGGGGUUUUUCUCGCCUCACUAUGAACACCAAAAGGAACUCGGAAUCGCUCUCUUUCAUUAUGUGUCUCCGAGCCAAUGAGCUCUGUACUGCCUAGACUGGCAGUGCUUCCUAUCAGACAGCUCUGUCUCUAGCCACCGCCACCGUUGGAAACGUAUCCCCAAGGCUAUUGUGUUCAACCUUUACUUAAAGAUCAUUUUCUAUGAGGCAUCCAAUUUCUGCUGCUCCCUGGGGCUGCGGUUUUAAGACAGGCUUCCCAGUAUUUACUGUUUAUAGUUUUGAGCUGACAGCUAUUUAAGGGCAAGAGAUUUCAGCUGCCACCACCUCCAACAGCUCUCGCCACCAAUGCAUUUGCCAGACGGUACCAGUUGGAACUUUGUGAAACCAAGGAAAACAGGUUUCAUAUGGUAGAGGAGAAAGAGUUUAAGAUGUGGAGCUAUUUUUCUGAUAC